Molecule: ribosomal RNA, 400 nt
Filed under: uncultured bacterium
Lineage: Bacteria
Description: bacterial SSU rRNA
Rfam family: Bacterial small subunit ribosomal RNA
Source: RNAcentral
CCACCUUUGACAUGUAUGGAACCCUCCAGAGAUGGAGGGGUGCCCGAAAGGGAGCCAUAACACAGGUGCUGCAUGGCUGUCGUCAGCUCGUGUCGUGAGAUGUUGGGUUAAGUCCCGCAACGAGCGCAACCCUUGUCAUUAGUUGCUACAUUCAGUUGGGCACUCUAAUGAGACUGCCGGUGACAAACCGGAGGAAGGUGGGGAUGACGUCAAGUCCUCAUGGCCCUUAUAGGUGGGGCUACACACGUCAUACAAUGGCCGGUACAAAGGGCUGCCAACCCGCGAGGGGGAGCCAAUCCCAUAAAACCGGUCGUAGUCCGGAUCGCAGUCUGCAACUCGACUGCGUGAAGUCGGAAUCGCUAGUAAUCGUGGAUCAGAAUGUCACGGUGAAUACGUUCCC